RNAcentral lists this ribosomal RNA (460 nucleotides) under uncultured bacterium. RNAcentral's name for it is "partial 16S ribosomal RNA". It matches the Rfam family "Bacterial small subunit ribosomal RNA", at positions 338 to 795 of the family's 1533-position model. The record is from RNAcentral.
CCUACGGGAGGCAGCAGUGAGGAAUAUUGGUCAAUGGACGAGAGUCUGAACCAGCCAAGUCGCGUGAAGGAUGACUGCCCUAUGGGUUGUAACCUUCUUUUAUAAAGGAAUAAAACGAGGCACGUGUGCCUUUUUGCAUUUACUUUAUGAAUAAGGAACGGCUAACUCCGUUCCAGCAGCCGCGGUAAUACGGAGGAUCCGAGCGUUAUCCGGAUUUAUUGGGUUUAAAGGGAGCGUAGAUGGGUUGUUAAGUCAGUUGUGAAAGUUUGCGGCUCAACCGUAAAAUUGCAAUUGAUACUGGCAGUCUUGAGUACAGUUGAGGUAGGCGGAAUUCGUGGUGUAGCGGUGAAAUGCUUAGAUAUCACGAAGAACCCCGAUUGCGAAGGCAGCUUACUAAACUGUGACUGACAUUGAUGCUCGAAAGUGUGGGUAUCAAACAGGAUUAGAUACCCCAGUAGUC